This is a long non-coding RNA of Papaver somniferum (opium poppy), 1953 nucleotides long. RefSeq lists it as uncharacterized. The record is from RefSeq and is a predicted model, not a curated record. The transcript is spliced from 3 exons. NCBI's taxonomy places the organism in Eukaryota, Viridiplantae, Streptophyta, Magnoliopsida, Ranunculales, Papaveraceae.
AUUACUCGUUUUUUCUUAUCUCUUCCUUUCUUUCUCUCUUUCUCUUCUAUUUUCUUUCUCUGGCGGAAUCAAUUCACCAGAACUGAUAUCGAUUAUAAGUGAACGAUUUAUAGAAGAUUAUUAGUUUGAUUAAUCGAGUAAGGAGGUGUGGUACUGGUGUUGGUUAGCUCUGGAAGUGGAUGAAGAUGAUACUACUGUAAAUCGAAGUUUGGGUUCUGAAAUUAGGGUUUAUAUAGAACCAGUAGAUGCUUAGAGUAGCAUAUUGAUAAAGAAAAAAGGGGUAUUUGGUCGAUUGAUGCUUUGUCGUUGUUUAAGAAAGAAAUUGAAUAAGUGAUUGAGGAAUUGAGAAAACAGUGAACUUAGGGUUUGGGGGAAAUACAGAUGAAGAACUGGAAGAUGAAAUUGAGGGUUUAAGUGACAGUUUAGAGAUGGGUUUGUCAUGAAUUAUGUUCAAGAUUAAAGAAUUACUUGAGAUUGGUAGUCGAGGUUCGGGGCUUGAUAUAUUUGAAGAUGUUGAUUGAUGUUUUGAGUUCGAAUUAGAGAAAUAGAGGAUUGGAAAUUUGUUAGGAUUUUCAUAGAACCAUUGAAGGUUUUGAAGGUUAUUGAAUUUAUUGAUGAGUUGUGAUGAGUUGCUGAAUUGAAUCCAGGGGAAGAAGAGAUUGUAUCGAGGUAAGAGUUCUUAGCUAAUUUAGUUUAGUAUUCAUUUUAGUUUUCAAUUCUUGUUGUUGUGGACGUUAUAAGAAUUGAGAAAGGAGUUACUAUGGAUGUGGAAUUAUAAUCAUUGUUAGUGAUGAUGUUAAACUAGUAGGAAGAUUGCUAAGUUGCAGAGAAUGGAUAAGUGCGGGAAUGUCACUGGAAACGAGUUUUAGCAAUGGAAGGAUGUUGUUGAAUAUGGUGGAUGUUUGCUAGUGAUUGUGGGUUGUUGUUGUGAUAUUUUAGAAUGCAGGGAAGAUUUGAGAUGGGUUGGUGAGUAAGAAAUAGAAUCAUGAGUGUUUAGGGUGUAUCUUGAAUUACACCGAAUAAAGAUGAUGCAUGGAUUGAACUGUGUUUUAGAAUUGUUAAUGAGAUGAGGGGCAGAGGAGAAGAUUUGGUGUUUGAAGUGAAGAACAUGUAUGUGUUGUCUGUGUAUUUGAAGAUGUAUAAUAUUGUGAGUUGGUUAUGGAGUCUGUGAAGAUGUAAUUGUGAAUGAGUUAGUAGUCUUGGUAUUGGAAGAGGCCGAGUCUAGUUGAACUGAUGAGACAUUGCAGGUCAGUUGAAGAUGUAUUAUUUCAGUAAGAAAUGGGAGGAACAUAUGGAUUGAAAUUACAGGGAUAAGGGUUAGCUAUUGUUGGUGGUGUAAGUAGUGGCAGAUUCAUGAACUGGUUGUGUUGUUUGUUGAAUUGUUUGAAUUGAGAUACAGCUGUGACUGUUGGGAAUGGAAUGAAAUCAGGUGAACUGAUGUUGAUGUUGUUGUUGUUGGAGGUUUUAUCUCUGACUUUGCAGUUGAGCUGUUGAGUUUUAGCAGUGGGGUUAGAGUAGUCAUUAGCCUGGCCACAACUGAUGGAUUAUGUUUGUAGAAUGAAUGUUGCCUGGGAUUAGAAUUGCAAGUGGUAGUAAUCUGAGAUUGUAUGAAUGAGUUGAUAUGUGAUUGAAGAUUUUUAUCGAGGGUUAGAUGAAUCUGUUGAGAUGAUCUAUCUAUGGCUUAAGGCUGCAAUUGCUGUUAGUUAUUAACAACGACCAAUUCAAAGGAUGAACCAGUGGAUUGUGGAUCUCGAGGUAGGCGAGGCUUGUCAUCAAAAGAGUUUCAGAGACAGAUCAAGAUGUGCAUGUGACGAUGAAAGCUUCGAAGAAUUAUUUACGUUAGCUAGUUGGCUUCCGCGGUGUUUAUUCUGUGUUUAUGUUCUAUUUGUAAAUCAACUCACUAUUGACUAUGUAUCAUUUGAUAGGAAUUCUUAUAUAUAUUUAUUUCAGAGU